This is a non-coding RNA of Triticum aestivum (bread wheat), 137 nucleotides long. The record is from Rfam. NCBI's taxonomy places the organism in Eukaryota, Viridiplantae, Streptophyta, Magnoliopsida, Poales, Poaceae.
UAUGUACUCCCUCCGUCCAAAAAUACUUGUCAUCAAAAUGGAUAAAAAAAGACGCAUUUAGAACUAAAAUCAUUCUAGAUACAUCUCUCCUUUUAUCCAUUUUGAUGACAAGUAUUUCCGGACGAAGGAAGUAUGUG